Molecule: long non-coding RNA, 626 nt
Filed under: Brassica napus (rape)
Lineage: Eukaryota; Viridiplantae; Streptophyta; Magnoliopsida; Brassicales; Brassicaceae
Description: long non-coding RNA (BNAP_LNC019745)
Source: RNAcentral
ACUUAAACAACUUAACAUAUCUCGAUUAUAUAUCCAUCAAAUUUAACAUGCAUUUCUUGAGAUCACAAUGAACGAACAUUCCAUAAACGAAUUCUAUCAUACAUUUUCCUAUCAACACGAUGAGAAAACUUUCCAUAAAUAAUUCUAUCCAAACAUAAACACAAUCAUAUUGAAUCAAAACCAGAAAAUUAGUUCUUAUUGGACUGCCACGAAUCACAUCCUCACCUGGAUUGAUCUUAAAAGAUCGAAGACUAUGAACUUAGCUGCGUUUUUCCGGCGAAGAAUCCUGCGAUCCUCCUUGCCCGAUCCUCCCUUCCCAAACUCUCUCUCUAGGACUGCGUUCUUGCUCUUGCCUCUCUCUAAGACUUGGUUUUUGAUUUCUAUCUAGAACGAGAGCUGAAGCUCCCUUUUUAUAUUACUCUUGGACUUGCUCACCAAGCCGGAAAUUUAUUGCUGUUUCCUUAUUUGGCUUGGACAAACCUUUCCCACAAAGUCUUGACUGAAUCUCUACAAUUCUUUCCUUAAACGACUCCCGAAGACCCGACCUUCCUUUCGAACAUCCCGUCAAAGAUGACUUUAUCGAACUUGCCUUACUUGGAACCCGCAUUCCCGAACGUCCGAACUUU